CCAGCCUGGCCUGCCUGUUCCUGAAGCGGGGGGCCGACGUCAACGCGGUGGACGCGGACGGGAGGGACCCCCUGACCAUCGCCAUGGACUUGGCCAACGCCGACAUCGUCACCUUGCUGCGACUGGCCAAGAUGCGAGAGCUGGAGGUGGCCCAGGGACAGACCAGUGACGACACCUACCUCGACAUCUUCCGCGACAUCUCCCUGAUGGCCUCGGACAACCCCGAGAAGCUCGCCCGGACCCCUCCCCCCAAACACUCCACCCUUUAGCCCCGCCCCCUCGGCAAACCACACCCCUUCAGCAGAACCACGCCCUCUCAGCAAAGCCACGCCCCCUCCUCGGGCA
Molecule: long non-coding RNA, 345 nt
Organism: Onychostruthus taczanowskii (white-rumped snowfinch)
Lineage: Eukaryota; Metazoa; Chordata; Aves; Passeriformes; Passeridae
Exons: 3
Source: RefSeq, a predicted model, not a curated record